GAUGAAGAACGUAGCGAAAUGCGAUAAGUAAUGCGAAUUGCAGAAUUUCCGUGAGUCAUCGAAUCUUUGAACGCACAUUGCGCCCACUGGUAUUCCGGUGGGCAUGCCUGUUCGAGCGUCUUUAUCCUCCCUCAAACCCCGGGUUUGGUGUUGGACCGAAGUUGUGUGAACAACUGGUCUAAAAAACAAUGACGGCGUCCGUGGGACCCUCGGUGCAACGAGCUUUUAGGAGCACGCGCCGAGUUGCAAGGACCUUCCGGGCCGGUCUCCUUUUACUAUUUUACAAGGUUGACCUCGGAUCAGGUAGGAAUACCCGCUGAACUUAAGCAUAUCAAUAAGCGGAGGA
RNAcentral lists this unclassified non-coding RNA (346 nucleotides) under soil metagenome. RNAcentral describes it as "partial contains 5.8S ribosomal RNA, internal transcribed spacer 2, and large subunit ribosomal RNA". The stretch from base 1 to 121 matches the Rfam family "5.8S ribosomal RNA", at positions 35 to 154 of the family's 154-position model. The record is from RNAcentral.